Molecule: long non-coding RNA, 8579 nt
Filed under: Triticum aestivum (bread wheat)
Lineage: Eukaryota; Viridiplantae; Streptophyta; Magnoliopsida; Poales; Poaceae
Description: long non-coding RNA (TAES_LNC016733)
Source: RNAcentral
GAGAUCGACAACUCUACUGAGAAGCCAAGUGAGAGGGCAGUCCCCGCGAGAGCUCCUGGUCACCUGCUCCUCUGCUCCCCUCAUCUCCCUUCGUCACAGCACAUGCAUCUCCUCGUGACAGAUUCGGGGUUGGUAGUUGAGAUUGAUAUGCUGCAUGGUGAUAUUACUGGGAUUGUUGUCUUAUUUUGAUGCUGGCUCUUGCUUGCCCUGGCUGCUUUAUGAAUGUGUUUCAGUGUACAGGGAGGCAGAGGGCCGUACCCCACAAUGCACCUGAGAAAAUGAGCACAUCUCUAUGUACCCCAUAGGCCCAUAUCUCAGGCCUAUCUGAAAUCCAGAGAUGAAAUCCGUAGAUUUCAAAUGAACCAUGACAUGCAAUACAUCAACAACAGCAUUUCAUUCGUGCAUACCACAGGCCUUGUGUUUUGAUGUAUUUGGUGGUGUAUGUUAACUGGGUAUUCACUCUGUCUACCUUUGCAGGAGAAGACAAUUUUCAUCUACCCAAAGUCCCUCCAUACAAGGAAUGAGAAAGCCAACAUUCGCAACUGGCAGCUCAAUAAUGCCCUCAAUGCACUUGGUGACACGAGAUCGGAGAUCCUUUUCCUCCUGGACGUUCAGCACAAGACCAAACAGACCAUGAAGGACUUGAAGAGAGCCAGGGCUCGACACGGUGAUCUUUUGGAGAAGGCCCCAAUUACCAUACUAGACUGGAUACAGAAUCUACCUGUGCUCAUGGAUUAGGUAAGUCUUCAGCUAAUUUCUUAUCAAAAUGUUUCGUUUGGUAUUUUUUAUCUGAUAGUCGUUGUAUCUUCUGAUGCAUAAUGUGUGCCCAAUGCUACAUUAGCUACAUGUUGUAAAUGUUAUCUUCAGGUGAACUCCGCACAAAGCUCUUGUACAUAUAUGCCUGUCUAGCUUAGUUUCUAUGCUGCAAGUAAACCCAUAGUUUUGUUUAAUUUCGUCACAUGUUCUGUUUUGAAGAAGAUAUUUUCUGAUUUGGUAGAUUUUGUAUGUUAUUUUGCGAUGUAGAACUUUAUUUGAGAGCAGCGCACUGCAUAUAUAUGUUCUGCUAGAAAUAGGAUAAACGAUUUCAACAGCAAACUAGGAAACUCUUCUAGCAUCUACAUUCAGAAAAGUACGGGAGAAGUACACUGAAAACAGGUUUGCCACUAACACAUAACAGAAACAUACGAUAAAUAUCAUCAGUGUGCUCAAUAAACCAUCGAUUGCAAACACGGCCAGAUGUGUGCUAUAUGAACCCAUCAUAUUCCUAAACUAUGCACCAGCAGUUAGUAGAUACUUCACUUAUGCCUCCUGAAUGCCUAUCAUGAUGUAAAUUUCCUUGGUUUACGGUGUUCAAACCGAAUGUUCCGCUUCUAGCUCCAAUGGAGCCAAAGUUAACUGACGCUAGUAUGCCAUUUGAUGCGUUAAGUCUUGUUACCUGUGACUUGUAGUGUCGUUAGUUGAAAGUAAAUUCCUCGGUUUAGGAAUGGCACUGCCAAGUUGUUUCUGCUCUAUGAUGCCUAAUGUUCCGAAUUUUGUUUCAUGCUGCAAUAAUGAUGUCCUGCUAUGCUGUUCAUUGUUACCAUUUGGUGCUCAGAGCUGCUGUCCGCCUAAUUAUUACAGCCUAAGUUUAUUAGCUCCCAUAAAGAGCCAUGACUGAGUGCUUUGGGUGAUGUCUUGCUCUAAUGCAACACAAGACCUGUUGUGCAACAUGUAGUCGAUGACCUCCAGGUCUUGUGCGCUUGCCCUCACCGGUCUCUUGCUUCAAAGAGAACCCAAGAUUGGCUCAUUAUCUUCAGAUUUCAAAUAUCCGGAUGGUGUAUGCAUGCCCUCCUAACAUUUCUUUCUUUUUAAAAACAUAUGUAAGAAUAGGCUGUUGUAAAAAAAGAGGUAAAAAUAGCCACAUAUCUAGCAUCAAACUGGCAGAAAUCCAGCAUCCUUUCUGGUAGCAUUCUUAACUGGACUAUUUCAGAAGAUAACGCACCAGCACUGGAAUAGUUUAUGGAGAGUAUGCCAGUGGCAAUAACGUGUAUCAUGCAGUAGAAGGCAACAAAAAUAGAUUACAAUAAGUUUGCGAGUAUCCUUCCUCCAAAACACAAACAACCAAGAUGCCAAUGGCAAUAACGUAAGUCCUGUGAACCACCCAUUCUUUCUCUUGACUAGGCAAUCGUGCAUAAUUUGAAUUCAUCCAAGAUGCUGCCAGAUAAGGCGUUGAAAGUUGCUGCUGAACAUUGCAACACCUUAGCACCGUGUUGCUUCCAAGGGUUCCAGCGAAAUGAGCCAAGACAGCGGAAUCGAGCAGAUAGCCACCAGCGUUGCAGAUCAUCUUGCGGAGAUGGAAUUACCACUGAAUUGCAUGCUUGAUAAGCAUCUGAACCAGAUUUGCCGGAAAAAAACACAUUUCCGCAAAAUGUGAUCCAUGUUAUCUUCAUCCUGGAAGUGGAUGCAGCAUGGCACUAGUCUACCAAUGGUCUAAAGCCUGUAGGAAUAUCUGAAAAAGCACAAUGAGGGUAACAUCAGUACAAAAUUACAAAAGGAACUCAGAGCACAUGAAUAUUGAGUGAAAGCGCUAACAAUUUGAGUGGCUGAUAUCUAAGAAUGCUCAAUACAGUGCAGAUCAUGAGAAUCCGACAAAUAUGAUGAUUCAUCCCUACAAAAUAGUGAUUGUAUCAUUGCAGAUUGUCUAUAUAAUGGGUCAAGCGAGUAAUAACAAACCAAUAAACGCACAAGCGCACGCACACAUGAUGUGAUAUAACUAAGCAUCUCCACUUAGCAUUAUUAUAAAAAAAAAGUGUGUCCGAACCUAAUUGAGUUGACUGCUUCUAGGGUUCUCUCAUGACCUUCAUCUGCUUCGUUGUUUUCAUUUUCUGAAAUAAAAAACAACAUAUUGCAGAAACCAUCACACAGUACAGAGUUGAAAAUAAGUUCACAGGCAAAAUUAAUUACAGAUUCGGAAAAUGCUGAUAGUUUAAGAACAGCCAACCAUCAAGGCUGCCGUUUUUUUUCUGACUCAUAAUGACAAUUAUUGCUGGGUGUCGAACCCAGCGCCUCGCUUCAGUUUUCCAGUAUGAGUGGCAAGACUUCGGGCAAACUGAGUAGCUACUCCACAUAUCUGAGCUCAUGUACAUCGUAAAGUGAUGAUCUGUUGCCUGACUAAUGGCCGAGAUAGAAUUUUGGUUGUCGCCAACAGCAAAACAGAACAUGCAUUGUAAGAUAUCAAGAAGGAAAAUGUUAGGGAUUAGGGUUCUACCACAAAGUCCUAACAUAUACCCAUUUCCGGUCUUCACAGUUAUUUUAAUCUCAGCAACCAGCUUCUUCUCCUGGAAUGGUACCACUGUGGUAUUAGGAAACCAAAUAGGACAGUACACGCAAAUUGCAGAUUGGUAAGUGGAAGAACCAAUAAAAAAUAAACAUGCAAUGAAACUGCUGGCUGUAUCACACCUUCCUGGAAAAGAAUGAUGUGUGUUACAUUCCUAGAGCAUGACGGUAUCGCACCAUAGGAAAGCCUCUAAAAAUUUGAGGCACCUCCCAGCCUCAUCAUUAGGAGUGUGUAUAAGCAUUGCCGUCUAAGGUCCAAAAUGAAGUAUAGCAACUUUAAUAUGACACUGAUCAGAUGCACAAUUGUUGCUUUAAUUGCUGAACAAAGAAUACUGGGCAACGAGUAUGACAACAAAUUAACCUCAUCUCAUCUCAGGAACAAAUCUACUGUCUGGUCCAUCGGCAAGUGUGACCAGAAGCAUGAUAGAACAAUGUCAGCUCUUUACAAUGGAAGAGCAUGUUUUCAUUCUUCGUACACCAGCAGUGGCAACGCUACCUAAUCUCUACACAGUCAAGCUUUGCCUCUAGUAUGUGGUGGGAGCUUAACAUUCACAUUAUAUUCUUACCAGUACGGCAAGACCAUAUGGUGAUUAAAACAGCACUUAUAUUUGCAGAGAAGCCUGUACAGCAAAUCAGCAAGUUGGGGUUCAUGGCACUAGGUAUUUUAGUUCCACUGGAUCAUUAACAAUCUAUUCAACAGCAGUGACUCUGGUGAGUUUUAGCAGCAUGCAAUUGAAAGGAAAGGGAAGGAAUAUACGCACUUCGUCGCAUGUUUCCUGCAUAGUAUCAGUAUCAGCCACUCUACCAUGGUAAGCUGAACCUGCAGCGAAAGAGACAGAAAAUUGUUGAUCAUAUUUAGCAGUUACUUCCAAAUUGCCAAUGGCCAAGAUCUGGUAACUGGAAGCAACGACAAAGGAAUCGGCAUUAAUGGUUUUUUAUUGAUUAACAUCACACUCAUAACCCAAGCUUUGGUUGCUUCAGUUGCACCAUAAUCUGAAUCGAAAUGUCUCAUUUUUGUAGCGUGUCCCCGUUUGGCAUUUGGGAUAUGUUGCAGUAACAUAUCCCAAGCUUACCUUCUGAUACAGCCACUGCAUUUACUUUUGUAGGUGUCCAUAGCCUCAAGCUCACCGUGUUUUGAACUAAAGCAAAACUCUGACAAAAAAGGAGUUUGAAUCGGGCUAUGUAUAACAUAAAAGGAACCAAUCACACGCACAAGCAUAACUGAAAAGGAUUCUGAACCCCUUCCAACAUACACCAUACUUCUCCAGAUCCAGAGAAAGAAAAGACGCAUCACUAAACCAUGGCAUAGCAUCACAACAUAUAUACAAGACAGUUCAUCAGCAAAAAUGAAACCUGCAUACUGGCUAGUUAAGGUGAAAGUAGUCCUCACCAGACGCUAGUGUCAGGGAUCAAAUUGGCAUCACAUGAACAUGGCUAGUUAAGGAGUAAUAUUUCAGCAAACUCACUGAGGUCUGAGGGCAAGUUGCAGCACGGCCCUUGCAAAAAGGCAUCACAUAUUGCACUCAACACCCUAAUCAGCUAAAAAAGGUCACUCUUGUGCCAUAAUAAUACAAAAUAAGACUGUACCAAUGCAGAACAGAGUCGCAAUUCCACAUAGUAGUCGCAAUUCCACAUACUACUCCCUCCGUAAAGAAAUAUAAGUCUGUUUAGCUCACUAAAGUAGUGGUCUAAACGCUCUUAUAUUUCUUUACAGAGGGAGUAUUCAAUAAUGUUUUCACAUUGGCACAGCCUAGCAUGUACUACUAUCAAAGCUAAGAAACAAAGGGCUGAUAUUAUUUCCAUGAGCCAUAGGUGAUCUACUAUGCACAUCAACAUGAAUUCCACAGUAACAUGUCAUGUACAUGACCUUCAAAACCACACAAGGUGAAAACUUUUGAUACGAAAAAUAAAUAACUAGCAUGCACAAUCAGAUGGUCCAACCAGGAUCCAAACGUAACACUUGCAGAAGAUUCCCCAAUCAGCAAAGAAAAGAAGAAACCUCUUGUGCAAGAUAAACAUACUCCCUCCAUCACAUAAUAUAAGAGCGUUUUUUACACUACAUUAGCCUAAAAAAACACUCUUAUAUUGGGACGGAGGGAGUAGUAGAUUAACGCACAUUCAUUUGAUCAUCAUUGCCUAGCUUAUUAAAGCUAAUAAGAUGGUGACAGCACAACUUGAUAACAAGAUAACAGCAUCACAAAGACACAGAUGAAUCCAUAACAUAGAUGAACCCCAGAUUAAUUACAUAGAUAGAUAAAUAGACCGACCAUACAAAGCAAGCACAGCAUUGGUGAACCGGCCAGGCCUAGUAAAUCCUCGAUGAUAUCAUUUGGAUUUGAGAACAGAUUCAAAUUGCUCUUGCAGAAGCCUCUGGAUAGCCUUGGCAUUCUCGAGCCUAGGCAAAACCCUUUCGACCACGAACUUGUCGUGCUUUGCCUUCUCCUCCUCAUAAAAGGCUGCAAACUCGGCUUCCGAGACGGGUUCAUCAUCAUCAUCGGAACUGUCCACCUCGGAGUCUGCUCCUGCAACUUCGAUAGCCUGCACUGUAGUCACUGGGACGGCAAGGGCAAUAUCUUCCUCGUCGUGCCCGUCAGCCGGCACCUUCCUUUUGGUGGAGCAGAUCUUUAGCGAACACUCCUGCUCCCCUGUGGAGUCCUUCAUGCUCUGGUUGGUGCACUGCUUGAACUGAAACUCCUUGCCGGCGAACGCCGCCGCCGCCGCCGUGCUUGUGGUUGUGCACGGCUUGCGGUUCGUGGGCUCCGUUGCCGACUCGGUCCGUGAUGGGCCAACAGGCCUCUUCCACUUUCCUGGUUUCUGUUCCAACAAGGAGAGAAUAUGGCCGACUGCUGCUACCACUCCCACCCACGCGCUCGGUUUUGUUUGAUUUUGGUAGCAACCUCUCCGUUUUCAACUCCUUCUGGUGGCAUCCCUAAACAAAAACUCCUUGCGGUGGCAGUCAAUUUUUUUUUGUCUAGGUCACAUCUAGAUGUGACAUACUUAUAUUGCACAUCUAAGUGACACAAUCAAGUAUGGAAAGAAAAAUUUCCCUCAAAAAAAGUAUGAAAAGGAAAAAAAAAUGCAAAAAGAAAUACCCAUACGAAUCUAGAUGCGCAAUACUUAUGACACAUCUAGAUGUGCUUUAGCAAAACUGAAAAAAAACAAAACUCCUUUUGAUGGUGGCUUUUUUUUAAAACAAAGUACUAGAUAAAGAACCCCAAUUCUUAAAAGAAGGUAGAGAAACCCAAUACACAUCUUCUUCUAUGAGAACCCCAAUAUACAUCUGACGUCGGAUCUUUUAGCGUCAUAAAUUUGGCUACCUCAGCUACUUCGGAUCCCAAAUGCAUGACAAUUACUCACUGCAGUAUGGCAAUUUUUAUGACCAUUUUUUACACUGCCUGGAAAUUUUUCACUUCAAAAACAUGGCAAAUCUUACACAACAUUGAUCAUGGCAAAUUUAUCUAUUUCCGCAUGACAAAUUUUGAUGUUUGCAGGCAAAAGUCAAAAGGCUGAUGUCAACUUUUAAAUAUUUACCUAGAUAAAUGGAAUGUUCUCUUUUGUACUUGCCGAGAUAUACAUGGAAAGUUCUCAAAAACAUAUAAAUGGAAAACAAAUAUUUUUAAUGCAGCUCAUCUCAUUCUCGGUGAGUUGGCGUCGAGUUUGUAACCGUUUUGUGUUUAAAAUCUUUUUAAUUAUUCUGAGCUUUUUCAUGCCCUUGCGAAUUCAUAGUCCCUACUCACUUACACAUUCUGUUGACCACUAUGUUAGAGAAUGACAUUGAAUUCGAUUCUCUUUCAACAAACAACGUGCUACCCAAAUACACAUUCUACGUACCAGUGGAGAUCAUUAAUGAUAAAAAAACCAUAGCUAUAUAUUCUCGCCACGACAUAUGGCAAUAUAUCCUCGUACCUCCAUCCUAAAAGAGGGAGUGCCCUGUCAAGGCACUCCCAAUACAAUGUAUCUUAAGCACCUCCUGAAUUAGCACAAUACCUCUAGUCUUGUGUGUUUUACACUAGUACUACUUCACAUAGUAUCGACCAUAACACUAGUACUUCUGUGUUUUAUGCAUUUGUUUCCAUGCCAUCAUACUUAUAUUUACAUUGUAACUGCUUUUAAUGAUUCUAUAUACACAAGCUACUAAGUUCACCCACCUUUUGAAUAUCUCAUUGAUCUAGGACUUGUGGAAUGGAUUCAAGUUGUAUGAUGGUGCUCUACUGUUUGGUAACACAUUUUCUCUUGUUUCAGGCCCCUCCAGUUGUCUCUACAACUUCAAAACGCAACAAAAGGUAGGCGAUUGCUUUUGGCUCCUGGGCUCGAUGGAGUCCAGAUUUUGAAAAGGAAUAAAAAUCUAAAUUAAACAAUUAUGAAAAUAAAUACACACAUACAUAUGGUUGUGCGCCACUUGCUUGUAUAUUUUCUUUUUUUUUGAACAAUUUGCUUGUAUAUUUUCAUGAUGAAAUGCAUUUUUGUGCGAGCUAUAGACAAAAAAACAUGUAUUCCUAACAUAUGUAUUAUUUCACUACAAAAGUAGAUAAAUCUUUUCUUGUGUGGCACACAUCAGAACAUAUUUCAUCAUGGAAAUCUGACACACAUUUUGUAUACAUAUCUAAGCAAGUGUGUAUUUUUUCAGAUUUUUUUGAACUUCGGAAUGUGAUUUUUCAAGUUUUUUAAAUUUCAGGUUCCAUGCUGGGAGCCAAAAAUCCACACUCAACAAAGGUGAUAAAGUAAGAGGAAAUUACAAUGGAGGUCCAUCAAGGAGUUAUUGAUUAGUCUAAUCGUUUUGAAAAUUCCUUUGGCCAUCUUAGGGGAAAGAUUCAUAAUAUAAAGUCCAGGCUUAAGAUCACAAGAAUACUCUUUUACAUAAAAGAACCAAGCAUAGAAGUCCAAGCAUAUCUCUGCAUCCUGAUGAUGGUGAUAAUGCUGGAGAUCGAGAUGACAAAGAGGAGGUAGAGAUCGAUGAAGAUGAUGACGUAGUAGAAUAUAUACAUGUACUUGAUCUUCUCUCCCCAUGGCCAAAUGCAUCACUUUGAAGCAUGUCAAUAUCACAUACACAAUCUGCAUAUCGAACUAAUAUCAUCCACCAAUGAGGCUGGCUCAUGAUUUAGAUUUCACUUUUGUGUCGAUUUAAAAAAUCAAACAAAGGGACGGUUGACUCAAUGGGAUGUUUGAGAUGCGAUGAUGGUCAACAUAUUAUGGUAUGCAUGUACGAUACAUUCAUUUAAUUAGUAAUCUAAGACUCUGAUUUCUAUGGAAUAUAGAAUAAUUAU